Molecule: ribosomal RNA, 325 nt
Filed under: Aeromonas salmonicida subsp. salmonicida 01-B526
Lineage: Bacteria; Pseudomonadati; Pseudomonadota; Gammaproteobacteria; Aeromonadales; Aeromonadaceae
Description: bacterial SSU rRNA
Rfam family: Bacterial small subunit ribosomal RNA
Source: RNAcentral
AGUGGCGGACGGGUGAGUAACGCGUGGGAAUAUGCCUUUGGUUCGGAACAACUCAGGGAAACUUCAGCUAAUACCGUAUGUGCCCUUCGGGGGAAAGAUUUAUCGCCAUUGGAGUAGCCCGCGUUGGAUUAGGUAGUUGGUGGGGUAAUGGCCUACCAAGGCGACGAUCCAUAGCUGGUCUGAGAGGAUGAUCAGCCACACUGGGACUGAGACACGGCCCAGACUCCUACGGGAGGCAGCAGUGGGGAAUAUUGGACAAUGGGCGCAAGCCUGAUCCAGCCAUGCCGCGUGAGUGAUGAAGGCCCUAGGGUUGUAAACUGCUUUU